Molecule: ribosomal RNA, 497 nt
Filed under: uncultured bacterium
Lineage: Bacteria
Description: partial 16S ribosomal RNA
Rfam family: Bacterial small subunit ribosomal RNA
Source: RNAcentral
GAUGAACGCUGGCGGCGUGCCUAAUACAUGCAAGCCGAGCGAACGGACGAGAAGCUUGCUUCUCUGAUGUUAGCGGCGGACGGGUGAGUAACACGUGGAUAACCUACCUAUAAGACUGGGAUAACUUCGGGAAACCGGAGCUAAUACCGGAUAAUAUUUUGAACCGCAUGGUUCAAAAGUGAAAGACGGUCUUGCUGUCACUUAUGGAUGGAUCCGCGCUGCAUUAGCUAGUUGGUAAGGUAACGGCUUACCAAGGCAACGAUGCAUAGCCGACCUGAGAGGGUGAUCGGCCACACUGGAACUGAGACACGGUCCAGACUCCUACGGGAGGCAGCAGUAGGGAAUCUUCCGCAAUGGGCGAAAGCCUGACGGAGCAACGCCGCGUGAGUGAUGAAGGUCUUCGGAUCGUAAAACUCUGUUAUUAGGGAAGAACAUAUGUGUAAGUAACUGUGCACAUCUUGACGGUACCUAAUCAGAAAGCCACGGCUAACUACGUG